CAAGAUCGAACGCGAAAUUUCCCUUCGGGGAGAAAGUAGAGUGGCGCACGGGUGAGUAACACGUAGGUAAUUUGCCUUCGGGUGGGGAAUAACUCAGGGAAACUUGAGCUAAUACCGCAUAAUGCAGCGGCUCGACAUCGAGACAGUUGUUAAAGCGGGGGAUCGCAAGACCUCGCGCCUGAAGAGAAGCCUGCGGCAGAUUAGCUAGUUGGUAGGGUAAUGGUCUACCAAGGCGACGAUCUGUAACCGGCCUGAGAGGGCGGUCGGUCACACUGACACUGACAUACGGGUCAGACUCCUACGGGAGGCAGCAGUCGGGAAUUUUGGGCAAUGGGCGAAAGCCUGACCCAGCAACGCCGCGUGAAGGAUGAAAUCCCUCGGGAUGUAAACUUCGCAAGAAUGGGAAGAAUAAGUGGGGGACAAUACCCCCCAUGAUGACGGUACCAUUUGUAAGCUCCGGCUAACUCCGUGCCAGCAGCCGCGGUAAUACGGGGGGAGCAAGCGUUGUUCGGAUUUACUGGGCGUAAAGGGCGCGUAGGCGGUCGUGACAAGUCACUUGUGAAAUCUCCGGGCUUAACUCGGAACGGUCAAGUGAUACUGUCGGACUAGAGUACAGAAGGGGCAACUGGAAUUCUCGGUGUAGCGGUGAAAUGCGUAGAUAUCGAGAGGAACACCUGCGGCGAAGGCGGGUUGCUGGGCUGAUACUGACGCUGAGGCGCGAAAGCCAGGGGAGCGAACGGGAUUAGAUACCCCGGUAGUCCUGGCCUUAAACGAUGAAUGCUUGGUGUCUCGGGGUUAUAAAGUCCCGGGGUGCCCGUUCGCUAACGCUUUUACAUUCCGCCUGGGGGAGUACGGUCGCCAGAACUGAAACCUCAAAGGAAUUUGA
This 886-nucleotide ribosomal RNA is filed under the name uncultured Pseudomonadota bacterium. RNAcentral describes it as "bacterial SSU rRNA". It matches the Rfam family "Bacterial small subunit ribosomal RNA", at positions 58 to 914 of the family's 1533-position model. Lineage: Bacteria; Pseudomonadati; Pseudomonadota. The record is from RNAcentral.